GAUGAACGCUGGCGGCGUGCCUAAUACAUGCAAGUCGAGCGAACAGACGAGGAGCUUGCUCCUCUGACGUUAGCGGCGGACGGGUGAGUAACACGUGGAUAACCUACCUAUAAGACUGGGAUAACUUCGGGAAACCGGAGCUAAUACCGGAUAAUAUAUUGAACCGCAUGGUUCAAUAGUGAAAGACGGUUUUGCUGUCACUUAUAGAUGGAUCCGCGCCGCAUUAGCUAGUUGGUAAGGUAACGGCUUACCAAGGCAACGAUGCGUAGCCGACCUGAGAGGGUGAUCGGCCACAUUGGAGCUGAGACACGGUCCAGACUCCUACGGGAGGCAGCAGUAGGGAAUCUUCCGCAAUGGGCGAAAGCUUGACGGAGCAACGCCGCGUGAGUGAUGAAGGUCUUCGGAUCGUAAAACUCUGUUAUUAGGGAAGAACAAAUGUGUAAGUAACUAUGCACGUCUUGACGGUACCUAAUCAGAAAGCCACGGCUAACUACGUG
This 497-nucleotide ribosomal RNA is filed under the name uncultured bacterium. Its description in RNAcentral is "partial 16S ribosomal RNA". It matches the Rfam family "Bacterial small subunit ribosomal RNA", at positions 28 to 507 of the family's 1533-position model. The record is from RNAcentral.